Molecule: long non-coding RNA, 1041 nt
Filed under: Bos grunniens (domestic yak)
Lineage: Eukaryota; Metazoa; Chordata; Mammalia; Artiodactyla; Bovidae
Description: lncRNA (ENSBGRG00000007478.1)
Source: RNAcentral
AUGGCAGGGCCUCGCUUGGCCCAGGCCCCAGCUCCCCUCCGUGCCCCCUCCCACCCGGCUGCUCUGCACUGGCGUGUCCUUCCCGCAGCUCAGCUUCCAGGCUUAGACAGCAGGGCGUGGGCCGGCCCGUCUCUCUGCCGCUGCUUCUCUGCUUCCUUCAUGCUGAGCAGCAAGCUCGCAGCUGCUGCCCCUGCCGGCCGUGGUGCAGGGUGGGCCCCGCUGGGACCGCCAGUGGGCGCUCCGUUCUCACGUCUGAGGGCUUGGGCCCUGCCCGGCUGUCCACGGACCAGAGUGGAGGUGGUCGCCAGACGCUGCAAGCUCCCAGGAAGGAGCAGGGACUGUGCGGGUCCCAGGAGGCCCUGCACGCCACCCAGCCGUCCAGGCCCCAGCGCCCGCCUGCAGGGCCACUGCCCUGCAGCGCCCAUGGCAGGGCCUCGCUUGGCCCAGGCCCCAGCUCCCCUCCGUGCCCCCUCCCACCCGGCUGCUCUGCACUGGCGUGUCCUUCCCGCAGCUCAGCUUCCAGGCUUAGACAGCAGGGCGUGGGCCGGCCCGUCUCUCUGCCGCUGCUUCUCUGCUUCCUUCAUGCUGAGCAGCAAGCUCGCAGCUGCUGCCCCUGCCGGCCGUGGUGCAGGGUGGGCCCCGCUGGGACCGCCAGUGGGCGCUCCGUUCUCACGUCUGAGGGCUUGGGCCCUGCCCGCGGACAUGGGCGGACUGGGUUGGGGCUGCCGAGGGCAAGGUGCGGCUCCGUGGCUGCGUCGGGUCGGAGGUCGUCGCCGUGGGGCUCCAGCCCAUGGGUGCGGGGCCUGGCCAGCGGGGCCCGGCUCUUCCCUGAGGCCCAGGGGCUGGCUGCGGCGGGCGGUGUGGCAGGCGGGCGGUGUGGCCGCCCUUCACUCUGUUCUGUCCUCUUCUCUCCUGUGGCUGUCUCGACCCCUCCGGUUUCCUUCCUCUAAGGAUGGCGGUGCAGCGCCCAGGGGUGGCGGGCGUCUCCUUUCCCUCAAGGCCACGUGGGUGGUGGAGCAAGGCCCGGCAGGCCCGGCCUAA